UGAACGCUGGCGGUAGGCCUAACACAUGCAAGUCGAACGGCAGCACAGUAAGAGCUUGCUCUUACGGGUGGCGAGUGGCGGACGGGUGAGGAAUACAUCGGAACCUACUUUUUCGUGGGGGAUAACGUAGGGAAACUUACGCUAAUACCGCAUACGACCUACGGGUGAAAGCAGGGGAUCUUCGGACCUUGCGCGAUUGAAUGAGCCGAUGUCGGAUUAGCUAGUUGGCGGGGUAAAGGCCCACCAAGGCGACGAUCCGUAGCUGGUCUGAGAGGAUGAUCAGCCACACUGGAACUGAGACACGGUCCAGACUCCUACGGGAGGCAGCAGUGGGGAAUAUUGGACAAUGGGCGCAAGCCUGAUCCAGCCAUACCGCGUGGGUGAAGAAGGCCUUCGGGUUGUAAAGCCCUUUUGUUGGGAAAGAAAAGCAGCAGGUUAAUACCCCGCUGUUCUGACGGUACCCAAAGAAUAAGCACCGGCUAACUUCGUG
Molecule: ribosomal RNA, 490 nt
Filed under: uncultured bacterium
Lineage: Bacteria
Description: partial 16S ribosomal RNA
Rfam family: Bacterial small subunit ribosomal RNA
Source: RNAcentral